AACGCUGAUUAUGAGGUAGCAAUAUUUCAUAGUUGGAGUGGCGCAAGGGUGCGUAACACGUGGGUAAUUUGCCGUGAAGUUGGGGAUAACUCGCUGAAAGGCGAGCUAAUACCGGAUACGAUAGCUGGGAGGCAUCUUCUAGUUAUCAAAGUUGGGGACCGCAAGGCCUGACGCUUCACGAUAAGCCCGCGGCCUAUCAGCUAGUUGGUGAGGUAAAAGCUCACCAAGGCUAAGACGGGUAGCUGGUCUGAGAGGACGACCAGCCACACUGGAACUGAGACACGGUCCAGACACCUACGGGUGGCAGCAGUCGAGAAUUUUUCACAAUGGGGGAAACCCUGAUGGAGCGACGCCGCGUGGGGGAUGAAUGGCUUCGGCCCGUAAACCCCUGUCAUUUGCGAACAAACCUCAUGCAUGAACAAUGCAUACGUG
Molecule: ribosomal RNA, 432 nt
Filed under: uncultured bacterium
Lineage: Bacteria
Description: bacterial SSU rRNA
Rfam family: Bacterial small subunit ribosomal RNA
Source: RNAcentral